RNAcentral lists this long non-coding RNA (215 nucleotides) under Elaeis guineensis (African oil palm). RNAcentral describes it as "long non-coding RNA (EGUI_LNC037753)". Lineage: Eukaryota; Viridiplantae; Streptophyta; Magnoliopsida; Arecales; Arecaceae. The record is from RNAcentral.
UUCUCACGAUCUCUAGCAUAGAGAUCAACAUCCUCUUACUACUUCUUCUCUAAGAGUAUUUUGAGAAAAAAGAAGAUUUUCAACCAUCAAAAUACGAUCGCUGUAAGGGAGCUAGCACCUCGAUGAGAUUAAAAAAUUUCUGAUCAGAUCAGAAUCUCAUGUGGAUAUCCAUAGUGGUCAUAUGCUUGUGCGGCUAUAAAGAACCUUUGGAAGAC